GACGAACGCUGGCGGCGUGCUUAACACAUGCAAGUCGAACGGAAAGGCCCUGCUUUUGUGGGGUGCUCGAGUGGCGAACGGGUGAGUAACACGUGAGUAACCUGCCCUUGACUUUGGGAUAACUUCAGGAAACUGGGGCUAAUACCGGAUAGGAGCUCCUGCUGCAUGGUGGGGGUUGGAAAGUUUCGGCGGUUGGGGAUGGACUCGCGGCUUAUCAGCUUGUUGGUGGGGUAGUGGCUUACUAAGGCUUUGAAGGGUAGCCGGCCUGAGAGGGUGACCGGCCACAUUGGGACUGAGAUACGGCCCAGACUCCUACGGGAGGCAGCAGUGGGGAAUAUUGCACAAUGGGCGGAAGCCUGAUGCAGCAACGCCGCGUGCGGGAUGACGGCCUUCGGGUUGUAAACCGCUUUCACCUGUGACGAAGCGUGAGUGACGGUAAUGGGUAAAGAAGCACCGGCUAACUACGUG
RNAcentral lists this ribosomal RNA (468 nucleotides) under uncultured bacterium. RNAcentral's name for it is "partial 16S ribosomal RNA". It matches the Rfam family "Bacterial small subunit ribosomal RNA", at positions 28 to 507 of the family's 1533-position model. The record is from RNAcentral.